Molecule: ribosomal RNA, 468 nt
Filed under: uncultured bacterium
Lineage: Bacteria
Description: bacterial SSU rRNA
Rfam family: Bacterial small subunit ribosomal RNA
Source: RNAcentral
GUCGAGCGGUAGAGAGAAGCUUGCUUCUCUUGAGAGCGGCGGACGGGUGAGUAAUGCCUAGGAAUCUGCCUGGUAGUGGGGGAUAACGUUCGGAAACGGACGCUAAUGCCGCAUACGUCCUACGGGAGAAAGCAGGGGACCUUCGGGCCUUGCGCUAUCAGAUGAGCCUAGGUCGGAUUAGCUAGUUGGUGAGGUAAUGGCUCACCAAGGCUACGAUCCGUAACUGGUCUGAGAGGAUGAUCAGUCACACUGGAACUGAGACACGGUCCAGACUCCUACGGGAGGCAGCAGUGGGGAAUAUUGGACAAUGGGCGAAAGCCUGAUCCAGCCAUGCCGCGUGUGUGAAGAAGGUCUUCGGAUUGUAAAGCACUUUAAGUUGGGAGGAAGGGCAGUAAAUUAAUACUUUGCUGUUUUGACGUUACCGACAGAAUAAGCACCGGCUAACUCUGUGCCAGCAGCCGCGGUAAU